Long non-coding RNA from Peromyscus californicus insignis, 731 nucleotides. RefSeq lists it as uncharacterized. The transcript is spliced from 3 exons. The record is from RefSeq and is a predicted model, not a curated record. NCBI's taxonomy places the organism in Eukaryota, Metazoa, Chordata, Mammalia, Rodentia, Cricetidae.
GUGCGCCCGGGUCUUCUGAGCAGAAACUAACGGAUUCUAGUGUUGUAAGGGAACACCCCUUAGGUGUCCUGCCUCAACCUGAAAUGAGAAACUAACGUGAAAGAAAGACGAUGGGUUGCGUAUGAAAAGCCGUUCACAAUGUUACUCUUCUGUCUUGAGGUUUAAGAGUGAAGCAACCCAAAUAUAACGAAUGGAGUUGCUGUGAAUGGAUGGAACUAGAAAAUAUCAUCCUGAGUGAGGUAACCCAGACUCAGAAAGACAAACAAGAGCCUUCAUCCAGUAACUGAUGGAAGCCGAUGCAGAGAUCCACAGCCAAGCACCAGGCCAAGCUCUGGAAGUCUAGUCGAAGAGAAGGAAGAGGGAUUGUAUGAGCAAGGGAGGGGUCAAGAUCAUGAUGGCGAAAUCUACAGAGACAACUGAACCAAGCUCGUAGGAACUCAUGAACUUUAGACUGACAAUUGUGGAACCUGCAUGGGACUGGACUAGGCCCUCUGCAUAUAGGAGACAGUUGUGUAGCUGGGUCUGUUUGAGGAGCCCCUGGCAAUGGGAUCAGGACAUCUCCCUGGUACAUGAGCUGGCUUUUUAGAGCCCUUCACCUUUGGUGGGAUGCCUUGCUUAGCCUUGAUACUGUGGGGAGGGGCUUGGUCCUUCCUCAACUGAAUGUACCAGGCUUUACUGACUCCAUGGGAGGUCUCACCCUUUUUGGAGGAGGGGUUCGGGAGUAAGGCAGG